ACUUAUCCUGUCCUUGUUACUGAUUUUAAUAAUACUUCCUGGCAGGGUGUGGUGGUUCAAUUUGCUAAUACUUUAUUUGAACCUUGCAUCUGUUCUUAAAUGAAAUGGGCUUUUGCCUUUUCUUCAGUUGUUCUUGAUCAGAUAUAUGUAAUAUUUUCUUAAAAUAUUUGGGCUAAUCUCAUACAGUGAGCUAGGUAACAAGAGUUUAGUGAGGUACCAAAUCUAAAACAGGUAGGCAGAUUGUUUUUUCUAUUCUCUUUCCCAAUUUGGGUCUUCCUGAAGCUAGGAUAAGGCCAGAGCUCCUUACUCAAGAUCACCCUUCCCUAUCCCCCAAACACACACAAUAUUCCCAAAGUGUCAUUGUUCAAGUUCCAACGUGGGGCUAACUCCUAGGAGCUUGAUCCUCCUACUGGGGCUACUGGUGUUAAUGGCCAUGAGGCCUUGUGAGAGCACGUUCGUGACAGUCCAACUCAAAGAAACUAGGAGAAAGUAUUAAGUGAUGGAGAAUUAAACCUUAACUACCGAGCCUUAACUUCCUUAAAUGAAAAAUGAAACUUAUUACCACCUAAGUCACAUGUGUGUUUUGUGACGUCCAUGAUAAAAUUUUGAAAAAGCACCCAGUACGCUGGGUGGCACAAACACACAGCGGGGCGAGGGCCCCUACAGCAGCGACAACCUUAACGGAGUGACCCUCAGCUGUCGUCUCAGUGCCUCCUUCACGGCUGGAAACGGCGAGGACGCUAACACAACCCUAACUGGCCGGGACGCAGCUUGAACGGUUUAACGGCCCCGAGCGCUGGGAACCCAUCCCGGCACAUGCGCCCUGACGGACUGGUCGCUUUUAACGACUGCUAUUCACUUUCCGACUGCCUCUCCGCCAGAGGAGCGUCGGACCGCUUGACCGUCACCAACUCCUCGAACUCUGGGGCGCCUCGGCCUUCUCCCGCGCCAACCUGGCGCGAAGACCUGGGACACCGCGCGCACCUGGACCAGCAAACCCAAAUUACUGCCUCGGGCGCUAGAUCGCAGCAAAAUGUCCGCUCCACGCGCAGGCGCAGCACGUGCAGCCCCCUCCACCCCGGCUCAAGACUCCGCCCCCAGGCUCCCGCACUGCCCGCCCCUCCCAGGGUCGCGGCUCAGGAUUGGUUCAGGGGCUGCGCAGGCUCUGAUUGGGCGAGGCGGAGUCACCAGGGCGCCGUAUCUUUACGUGGCCGUCUUCCCUGCGCGCCUUGGAUCGGGGGUAAUAGUUGAGAGGGUGUCGCCAGCGUGUCGGCGCCCGCGGUUUUCUUCGGGCUCUCCCAGGGCGUCGUACCCGCGUCCGUGACGCGCGGUGGCUUCCAGGGGCGCACGGCCUAGGCCCUUGCCGGGCUCUGGGAGGGCAGGGCCCUACACCAGCGAUAGCCUUAAAGGAAAACCUGUUAGGGACAAGGGCUGCUGUGGGCAGCGAGGGUUGUAGACUCAUUUGUGUUCUGAAUUCUGGUGGGGGUAGUGAUGGACGCUGCCCCAGUUCACAGAAUUAUCUGAUUGGGGAAGUAAAGGUACUUGAAUUGCAGGUACUGUUUUUGGCCCUUUGUCCCCUUUAUUUUGGCCCAGUGGGCUUCCAUUUGAGUAGUCUGUAGUGGAACUAUUAAAAAAAAAAAAAAAACAGUUAUUUGAAAACACUUGAUGGAUCAGAAUGAGAGGAAUAGGAAGGAAUUCCUGGGAAUUUGUCCUUUUUUUUUUUUUUUUUUUCUUAAGGAGUUUCCACUUGUCGAUUGUGGCAAAAGAUGAGGUAUGGGAGACCUCACCUACAACAUCAAAAAUCACCUUUUGUAUUUGUUUUUCUGUUCGCUGGUGUGAGUAAAAGAUACCAAAUGAAAAUUAAAAGUUAAGAUGAGGCCUAACAUAAGUUUAUUCCAAAUGCCAAUUUACUGUUGGAAAUACUAAGAGGCAAAACGUGCCUGGCUUGGAAUGUAUGAUGGCCCUGUCAUGUGCCUAAUAAUAAUCUUGUCCAUUUUGAGCAGGAAAAAAAAUCAAGGUGAACUGAAGAAAUAAGUCUUUCCCCAAAGGAGGUAGAAGAUGGGGAAGAUGAGAUGUCAGAAGCUAAGGACAAUGGCAGUAGAGAUGAGGUGCAGCCAUUGUACAAGGGCUUUAUGCCAGGGGUCCCCAAGCCCUGGGCCACAGACUGGUACUGGUCUAUGGACUGUUAUGAACCGGGCCGCACAGCAGGAGGUUCUUGUCCCUCAUAAGAAUUGCAGGAAGAACACAACUGUCCCAGGAAAGAAAGGGGAGGAAAAGUCCUGGCUCCUGUGUUUGCUGAAAAGUUAAUAUCACCAAGCAGGAGGGGAGCCACGCUCAAGGACUGUGAGAGCCACCAGGAGAAUGAAGACAGGAACAGUGAGUCGGACCAGGAUGAGGAAGAACCUAUCAAAGAAACACCUGAUAAACAAAAGAAGGAAAUGGCCAAUCAGAAAGAUUCCCCUGGAGCCAAAAAGCAGAAAUUAGAAGCAACUGAACCAUGUAUAGCACUCCAACUGUUUUUUGGAAACUUGGAUUUCAACAAAACUGCUGCUGAACUAAAAGCUGGCCUCAGUGAAUUUUUUGCUAAAAAUGAUCUUGAAGUUGUUGGUGUCAGAGUUGGCUUGUCCAGAUCAAAAUGCCAAAACACUUUUGAUCAAGAACCUGCCUGACAAAGUCAUUCCACAUGAAUUAAGUGUUUGAGGAUGCUUUUCAAAUCAGAUUAGUGAGCAAAGAUGGGAUGAGUAAAAGGUAUGUUUUGCACCUUGUACUGAAUAAGAAUGUAUGUCUACUGGAUACAAACAUAAUGGAAUUUCCUUACAUUCUCUCAAAUCUUUUAUGCCUGAUUUUAGAGAAGGAAAGAGUAGUUAUCCAGAUUUCUGCCAGUAGGCAUAAAAAGCUGAAGGAGACAUCAUAAAGGGACAGCUAAAACUCCUAGAAAACUGUAGUGGUGCUAUAGAGAAAUAGAGACUUCAUCUGCUACCAAGUACAAGAUUGAAGAUUGGAAUUUAUUCAUAGAUUAUGUACAUUCCUUCUUCUCUCUCCAGGGCUGACUCCACUAGGAUAAUGUACCUGGUAACUUGCUUGGACAGGUACCAAAAUAGAACAUAGAAUUGAAUUGUUAGGUUUAUGUUGUAACCAAUUAAUGAAACACUGUCCUUAGGUAUCUAGGCUUUGGUAGAGUAAGAGAGUGAAUAUGGUGAAAUUAGAGAGGGUGGAGUAUAAUAUAUUUUGGAGGGAUUGUCAUUGAGGUGAAAAUUGAAUAUUGGGUUUAUAGAUACAUUUGAGCUAAAUGUGUUGGUGUAGGUGAACUCUAAAAUAAUCUGUAGCAGUAUGUUCUGAUGAAUGUAAUCUCUAGAAAGAAUACUACAGAUCUAACAAGCAUAAGAUAGAACUAUAUGUAUUGACCUGGAAAGCCAUGAUAAAUAUAGGAAAACAAAUCUGAAAGAAUAAAUUCCAAAUUGUUAGCAGUGUUUACCAGGAGGAGAUUUGGGAGCACUCUGCUUAUAGUCUCCAGAAAGCAAGCAAACAAAUUCCUGCCAAAAGCUAUAUAAUUUCUCAGAGUUUAAUUAGGUUUUAAUUAAAUAUACUUGAAUCUUUAUAAUCAUUUCUCUACCUGAAGAAUUACUGUAUCACUUCUCAGCCUUUUGGCUAAGAUCAAGUGUAGUAUCUGUUUUUUCAGUUUAAUAUCUGAUAUGUACUAAAUUAAAAAUAAUAAAAAAUAAAUGGGAGAUAAGAGAAACCAGAGAUCCAUGGCCAUGUGAAAUAAAGCAUAGUACCUAUGCCAGAAAAGAGUGUGGUGCAGGCUGGACAUGGUGGCUCAUGCCUGUAAUCCCAGCACUUUGGGAAGCCGAGGCCGGCGGAUCAUGAGGUCAGGAGAUUGAGACCAUCCUGGCCAACAUGGUGAAACCCCAUCUCUACUAAAAUACAAAAAAUUAGCCAGGCGUGGUGGCACGCUCCUGUAGUCCCAGCUACUCGGGCGGCUGAGGCAGGGGAAUUGCUUGAGCCCGGGAGGCAGAGGUUGCAGUGAGCCAAGAUUGGGCCACUGCACUCCAGUCUGGUGACAGAGGGAGACUCCGUCUCAAAAAAACAAAACAAAACAAAAAAACAGAAUGUGGUGCAUUAUGUUUAAGAAUCUGACUCAGACCAGGCACAGUGGCUCAUGCCUAUAAUCCCCAGCACUUUGGGAGGCCGAGGCGGGGGGAUCACCUGAGCUCAGAAGUUUGAGACCAGCCUGGCCAACAUGGUAAAACCCUGUCUCUAUUAAAAAUACAGAAAAUUAGCCAGGCGUGGUGGUACACACCUGUAAUCCCAGCUACUCAGGAGGCUGAGACAGGAGAAUCACUUCAACCCGGGAGGCAGAGGUUGCAGUGAGCCGAGAUCUUGCCACUUCACUCCAGCCUGGGCAACGAGCAAAACUCUGUCUCAAGAAGAAAGAACCUGACUCGAUAUGUCCUUAUUCAUACCUUUCACCAAAUUAAAUUACAGGUUCGUUAGAGAUUUCAUGUAAAAUAUGAAACCAUAAAGUAUUAGAGGAAGACAUAGAGAAUAUUUUUGGGUUUUGUUUAAUAAUCUGCAGGAGAGGAAGGCCUUUUUAAAUAUGACACAAUCCUGGAAGUCCCAAAAGAAAAGAUACAUAAAUUUGGCCAGGCACAGUGACUCAACCUGCAAUUCCAGUACUUUGGGAGGCCGAUGCGGGUGGAUCACCUGAGGUUAGGGGUUCAAGACCAGCCUAGCCAACAUGGUGAAACCCUGUCUCUACUAAAAAUACAAAAAAAUUAGCUGAGCAUGAUGGUGGGCGCCUGUAAUCCCAGCUACUUGGGAGGCGAAGGCACGAGAAUCACUUGAAUUGGGGAGGUGGAGAUUGCAGUGAGCCGAGACUGCACCACUGCACUCCAGCCUGGGCAACAGAGUGAGACUACAUCUCAAAAAAAAAAAAAGUACACCAGACCAGGCAUGGUGGCUCACACCUGUAAUCCCAGCACUUUGGAAGGCUGAGGUAGGUGGAUCACCUGAGGUCAGGAGUUUGAGACCAGCCUGGCCAACAUGGUAAAACCCUGUUUCUACUAAAAAUAGAAAAAAUUAGCUGGUCGUGGAGGCAGGCACCUGUAGUCCCAGCUACUCAGGAGGCUGAGGCACGAGAAUCACUUGAACCUGGGAGGCGGAGGUUAGUGAGCCGAGAUUGCACCAUUGCACUCCAGCCUGAGCAAGAGUGAAACUCCAUCUUAAACGGUAAUAAUAAUAAAUAAAUAAAAAUUAAGCACGUCCCUGUGAUGAAACCUUCUGAGGGCCAGGUGUGGUGGCUCAUGCCUGUAAUCUCAGCACUUUGGGAGGCCAAAGUGGGCAGAUCACCUAAGGUCAGGAGUUCCAGACCAUCCUGGCCAGCAUGGUGAAACCCCAUCUCUACUAAAAAUAGAAAAAAUUAGCCAGGUGUGGUGGCAGGCACCUGUAAUCCUGCUACUCGGGAAGCUGAGGCAGGAGAAUCGCUUGAACGUGGGAGGCGAAGGUUGCAGUGAGCCGAGAUCACGCCAUUGCACUCCAGCCUGGGCAACAGAGCAAGAUUCUGUCUCAAAAAUAAAUAAAUAAAUAAAAUAAAAUAAAAGUGCACCUAACAAAUGAGUAAGAGAAAUAUCAACAAUUUAGGGGAAAUAACAGGCAGGCUAUGGUGGACAGACAGGAACGGAGUUUUAAGCAUAGGAAAAGGUACUCAUCACUCAUAGUGAAACAAUUGUAAAUAAAAUAUACACUGAGAUACAACUUUUUACCUAUCAAGCAGUCACAGAUUGAAAAGUUUGUUACCACAGUGGAGAAGAGGGUAAAGAAACUGGCAUGCUCAUACUGUGUUACUGGAAGUGAAAUUGGAGAAAUCGCUAUGGAGAUUAGGUACUUAGCCGUAGCUAUCAAAGUUACAGUUGCAAUUACCAUUUUAUCUUGCAGUUCCACUCCUAAGAAUUUACCCUGCAGUUAGUCUCAGACAAAUGUGAAAUAAUGUAUUGCAAAGUUGUUUGAUGCAAAAUUAGAAUUAACCUGAAUAUCAAGCAACAGGUGGUUAAAAUUGUCUGGCAGAUCCAUAAGAUAUUUUUCUAUAUAGCUGUAAAAAGGAAUGAUAUCGCAUUUUGUGUACUGAUGGGAAAUAAUCUCCAGUAUACAUUAUUAAGUGAAAAAAGACAAAGUGUAUAUUAAGUGAAAAAAGACAAACAGUGUGUACAGUAGUCUGCCUUUUAUGUAAAAACAUAAUGGAGAACACACUGUACACAAAAAAUAACAUGGAUCAAAGACCUAAAUGUAAGAGCUAAAACAUAAAAUCCUUAGAAGAAAACACACUUUAUGCACAAGUGAUUAAAGAAAAUUGAGAAGUUGGGCUUAAUCAAAAUAAAAAAUGUUUGUGUUUCAAACCCAUAUUUAAAAAGUCCCUCCCUCCCUCCCUCCCUCCCUCCCUCCCUCCCUUCCUUUCUUUCCUUUUUUGGGACGGUCUCCCUCUGUUGCCCAGGCUGCAGUGCGGCGGCAUAGCCUUGGCUCACUGCAACCUCCCUGCCUCAGGCUCCUGUGAUUCUCCUGCCUCGACCUGCCGAAUGCCUGGGAUUGCAGGUGGCGCACGCCACCAUGCCUGGCUGGUUUUUGUGUUUUUGGUGGAGAUGGGGUUUCACCGUGUUGGCCAGGCUGGUCUCCAACUCCUGACCUCGAGUGAUCUGCCCGCCUCGGCCUCCCGAAGUGCUGGGAUUACAGACGGAGUCUCGCUCACUCAAUGCUCAAUGUUGCCCAGGCUGGAGUGCAGUGGCGUGAUCUCGGCUCGCUACAACCUCUACCUCCCAGCCGCCUGCCUUGGCCUCCCAAAGUGCUAAGAUUACAGCCUCUGCCCGGUCGCCACCCCAUCUAGGAAGUGAGGAGCGUCUCCGCCUGGCCGUCCCGUCUGGGAAGUGAGGAGCACCUCUGCCCGGCCACCCUGUCUGGGAAGUGAGGAGCGCCUCUGCCUGGCCGCUGUGCAACCUUCCAAGUGUGAAGUGACAGCCUUCGUUGUAGAAUGAAUGAAGACACUGGCACUGAUUAUAUAACACCUUGGCAGCUAUCUCAAGUCAUUGAUGGUGGAGGUAUUGGAAUUAUAGAAGAAAGCAAACACACAAAUUUGACUAAAGGCGAUUUUGUGACUUCUUUCUAUUGACCCCGGCAAACCAAGGUUAUUCUGGAUGGAAAUAGCCUUGAAAAGGUGAUAUACAUAUGAACGUAUCUGAUUUUUUUUCUCCGUAUAAUUCUUACUUUGUGCAUUUGAUAUUCAGUUGUGUUUGUAAUCACGGAAAAAUAAAAGCAUAUAAAAAAAAAAGUCAAAAGAAAAUUUGUAGACUGGGCCAGGCGUGGUGGCUCACGCCUGUAAUCCCAGCACUUUGGGAGGCCGAGGCGGGUGGAUCACGAGGUCAGGAGAUUGAGACCAUCCUGGCUAAGAUGGUGAAACCCCGUCUUUACUAAAAAUACAAAAAAAACUAGCCAGGCGAGGUGGUGGGCACCUGUAGUCCCAGCUACUCAGAAGGCUGAGGGGUGGAGCUUGCAGUGAGCCAAGAUCGCGCUGCUGCACUCCAGCCUGGGCGACGAGACUCCGUCUCAGAAAAAAAAAAAAAAAAAAAAAGAAAAUCUGUAGACUGGCUGGGCACAGUGGCUCAUGCCUGUAAUCCCACACUUUGGGAGGCCGAAGUGGGUGGAUCACCCGAGGUCUGGAGUUAGAGACCAGCCUGGCCAACAUGGCAAAACCCAGUCUUUACUAAAAAUACAAAAUUAGCCAGGCGUGGCGGUGAGCGCCUGUAAUCCCAGCUACUUGGGAGACUGAGGCAGGAGAAUCGCUUGAACCUGGGAGGUGGAGAUUGUAGUGAGCCAAGAUUGCGCCGUUGCACACCCACCUGGGCAACGAGUGAAACUCCAUCUCAAAAAAAAAGAAGAAAAAAUCUAUAGACUGGAAGAAAAUAUUUGCAAAUCAUAUAUCUGAUAAGGGACUUGUGUCCAAAUAUAUAAAGAACUCAUAUUACAAUUCAACAAUAAAAAGGCAACCCAAUUAAAAAAUGGGCAAAGGAUUUGAAUGGACAUUUCUGCAAACAAGGCAUAUGAAUGGCCAAUAAGCACGCAAAAAGAUGCUCAACAGUUGUUAGGGAAAUGCAAAUCAAAACCAUGAUGUGAUACACUUCACAUUCAUUAGAAUGGCUAGAAUAAAGAAGGCAAACAGUAACAAAUAUUGACAAGGAUGUGGAAAAGGUGGAGCCCUCAUAUGUUCCUGGUGGGAAUGUGAAAUAAUGCAGUUGCUUUGGAAAAGUUUGACAGUUUCUCAAAACGUUAAACAUAGAAUUGCCAUAUGGUCCAGCAAUUCUCUUAAGUAUCUACCUCAAAGAAAUGAAAACAUAUGUUCACACUCUCCUACAAAUGUUCAUGUCAGCAUUAUUUAAUAGUCAAAAAGUAGAAAUGACCCAAAAUGUCUGUCAGUUGAUGGAUUGAUAAAGUAUGGUAUGUCAUUCUGUAUAUGACAUGUCCAGUAUAGCCAAAUCUAUAUAGACAAACUAGAGCAGUAGUUGCUUGUGGCUGGGAGUGAGAAUGGGUUGGGAGGAAUGAGGAGUGACUGCUGAUGGGUACUUCUGGGGACAAUAAAAAUGUUCCAAAGUGAGUUUACAAUGAUGAUUGUACAGUUGUGUAAACGUAUUAGAAACCAUUGUAAAGUGUAAAUGGGUGGAUUUUAUGAUAUGUAAAUUAUAUCUCAAGCUUUUUAAGAAAAAUUGUAUGUGCAUAUACAUUUGCUUUUAUAUACACAGAAUGUUGCCUCUGUGGUUAGAAAUUGGGUGGCCUGGAAUAGGAAUAUAAGGAAGACUACAUCACAUCCUUUUUUUUUUUUUUUUCCUUUUUCUACAUGUUCUAAACCAUAUCCUUUUCUACUUUUUGGAUUUUGAAUCUUAUAUAUUACUGAUACAGAAGACAAAUAAUCAUCUGUGGCCCUAAAUGCCGACUGUUCUUCUCUGCCUCACCUUAUCCCCACAAUUGCAGGAUUGUAUAUAUUGAAUUCAAGUCAAGCCGAGGCAGAGAGAGCCUUGGAAGAAAAGCAGGGAAUGGAGAUUGAUGGGCUUGCCAUAGUUCUUGACCAUAUUGGAGAGAAAAGCCAGGGCCAAGAAACUAGAGAUAGAAAGAACAGCACCUGGAGAGGUGAGGGGUCCCAGAGCUCUGUGGAUUGAGAUUUACCAGGGUUGUCACAGGGGGAUCCCAAGGGAUCGUCUGGUAUGAGGUUAGGGGUACUUGGCACUUUAUUUUUUUAUUAUUAUUUUGAGAUAGGGUCUCACUCCCUUUGCCCAGGCAGGAGUGCAGUGGCACAAUCAUGGCUCAUGUCAGUCUCGAUUUCCUGGGCUCAGGUGAUCCUCCUACCUCAGCCUCCCGAGUAGCUGGACUACAGAUGGGAAGGCUACUCAGCACUUUAUUUUUUAUUUUAUUUUUUUAUUUUUAUUUAUUUAUUUUUUUAGACGGAGUCUCGCUCUGUUGCCCAGGCUGGAGUGCAGUGGCACCAUCUCGGCUCACUGCAACCUCUGCCUCCUGGGUUCAAGCUAUUCUCCUGCCUCAGCUUCCCGAGUAGCUGGGAUUACAGGUGCCCGCCACCACACCUGGCCGAGAUCACACCACUGCACUCCAGCCUGGGUAACAGAGACAGACCUCUUAUCUCAAAGCAAAAAAAAGGAAACCCAUCAGUUUAUUUUUUCUUUUUUGGGCACCCUCUAGGAUUUUGUUUGAACAAGCUCUUAUAUCUGUGGUUUCAGAAUUAGAUAUUUAAUUCUCUUCAGAUAUUAAUUUUCUUCAAGUAGUGUUUUUGCAGGUUUAAACGAGUGACCCCAAACCAGUGUCCCUAAUUUGCCUUAUCUGAUCGGCAAACAUGUUGGCUUAUACAAUAAGAGACCAUUGAAUUUGUUAUGAGUAUUUCAAAAAAUCAAAAAAUUUCACAUAAACCCCUGGAUUUCCAGCUUCUUUUGAUACAACAGAAAAUCUGCCCAGGUGCAGUGGUUCACACUUGUAAUCCCAGCACUUUGGGAGGCUGAGGUGGGUGGAUAGCUUGAGCCCUGGAGUUCAAGACCAGCCUGGGCAACAUGGAGAGACCCUGUCUGUACAAAAAAAAACUAAAAUUAGUUGGGCAUGGUGUUGCAUACCUGUAGUCCUAGCUAACUCAGGAGACUGAGGUAGGAGGAUUGCCUGAGCCUGGGAGGUUGGGGCUACAGUGAGCCAUGAUGGUGCCACUGCACUCCAGCCGAGGGGACAGAGUGAGACCCUAUCUGUCUCAAAGAAAAAGGAAAGAAAAUCUGGUGGCACCGUGGCUGCAUUCCCACAUGGCAGCAGUUGGCUGGCAAUGAGAAGUAGCUGCUUCCUUUUAGGUGUGGCCAUUGCUCUUGUUUGCUGGUAACCCCCACAGUUCCUGAGGGUCUCCCCACCAACAGUGGUGGGAACAGCACAACACUUGGCACUUUUAAACAUAGAGUUAAUACUUUUUUCUUAGAAAAUAGCCCUUUUUUUAAUAGUAAAGAUGACAUGGCUGGGCAUGGUGGCUCAUGCCUGUAAUCCCAGCACUGUGGGAGGCUGAGGAGGGCAGAUGAUGAGGUCAGGAGUUCGAAACCAGCCUGGCCAACAUGGUGAAACCCCGUCUCUAACAAAAAUUAGUCGGGCAUGAUGGCGCAUACCUGUAAUCCCAGCUACUCGGAAGGCUGAGGCAGGAGAAUUCCUUGAACCCGAGAGGUGGAGCUUGCAGUGAGCCAAGAUCGCACCACUGCACUCCAGCCCGGGUGACAGAGCGAGACUGCGUCUCAGGGGGAAAAAAAAGAUGACAUUUUGAUAUUUCUUAUGCAUUUUUCUCUUCCACAAGUGGAAAGACAAAGUAUAGAACAAGACAACCACACUUUUCAAGAAAAAUGGGAGAGAGCCUAUUUUUUUGUGGAAGUAAAGAAUGUUCCUACAUUUUUAAUAUGCAAAGUCUGUCUGUGUUGAAAGAGCAUACCCUAAGACACCAUUAUGAAACAAACCAUAGCAAGAACCACGAUGGGUAUACAGAAAAGAUGCGUGACAAAAAACUUAACGAACUGAAAAAAAGACUGAGAUUUCAGCAUGACUUGCUUUUGAAUGUGAAUAAAAUAGGUGAUGCUGCUAUGGAGUGUAGUUAUAUAUUAAGUGAGAAAAUUGCCCGGGCAUCAAAACCUUUUACAGAUGGGGAGUUUAUAAAAGAAUGCUUGUUGAGUGCAGCAGAAAUUAUGUGCCCUGAACAGAGACAAGCAUUUGCAAAUAUAAGACUAACUGGUAAUAUUGUUGCUCAGCAUGUUGAUGAUAUGGCUGAAAACUUACAGGACAGGUUUCAGGAAAAAGUGAAAUCAUUUGUGGCUUUCUCUAUCACAGCUCAUGGGAACACUGAUAUAAAUAAUGCUCCCCAGUUGGCUGUGUUCAUUCGUGGUGUUGAUGAAACUUUUGAUGUGACCGAAGAACUUUUAAAUAUGGUACCCAUAACAGGCACAGCAUCAGGAAAUGACAUAUUUUUAUGUGUUGAGAAAAGUCUUAAAAAAUUUAAUGUAGACUGGUCAAAAUUAGUAAGUGUUAGCACAGAUGGUAAUUCUGCAAUGGUUGGUGUUAAACAACUUGUUAUAAAACUAAAUCUAAGGUGGCAGGGCUUUGCAAAGGCACAGAACUUAAGUGUGUGCAUGGCCUCAUUCUCCAGGAAUCACUUUGUGCUAAAAAGUUAAAAAUGGAUCACGUCAUGGACAUAGUAAUUUACAGCAUAACCUGGAUACAUUCCCAUGGCUCAAACCACAGAAAGUUCAACACUUUGUUCAGUGAGUUAGAUGCACAAUAUGGAAGCCUGUUCUGUGACAUGGAAGUGAAGUGGCUGAGUCGUGGUAUAGUGCUAAAGCAGUUUUUUGAACUGUUGGAAGAAAUUGACUUUUUCAUGUCCUCUAAAGGAAAAUCUGUGCCUCAGCUCACUAGCAAAAAUUGGGUCAAAGACAGCCUUUUUGAUUGACAUUACAACACAUCUAAAUACAUUGGAUAUUUCUCUGCAAAGACAUUCACAAGUGGUUACACAAAUGUAUGAUUCAAUUCACUAAUUCCUAGCAAAAUUGUGUUGUUGGGAAACUCAUUUGACAAGGAACAAUCUGGCCCACUUCCCUACACUGAAAUUAGUUUCUGAAAAUGAAAGCAAUGGCCUGAACUAUAUUCCAAAAAUUAAAGAAUUGAAGACUGAAUUCCAAAAAAGAUUCUCCGAUUUCAAACUUUAUGAAAAUGAACUGAUAUUGUUCAGUUCAUCUUUCAUGAUGAAUAUUAAUCAUGUGAAUGCAGAGCUGCAAAUGGAAGUUAUUGAAUUGCAGUGCAACACUAUACUGAAAACUAAAUAUGAUGAUGUGGGAAUCCCAGAAUUCUACAAAUUCCUAGGUAAUGGUUACCCUAAAUAUAAAAAACAUUGUGCAAAGAUUCUGUGCAUGUUUGGAAAUACCUAUGUUUAUGAGCAGCUAUUUUCUCUUAUGAAACUAAGUAAAACUAAAUAUUGCUCCCAGUUAAAGGAAAGAUGAAUUGUCUGCUGCAUGUUGCUAUGCAAGAUUCACAACCUGACGCUGAUUGAUAUCUUGGGCCCUAAGAAAGGAAUGUUAGAUUUCGGAUUUCAAAUCUGAGAAGUAAUAAAUUAUGAAACUUGGGAUAAUUAUUUCUAUUUUCAAAUUAUAUUUUUUCAAUAUGAAGUUUAGAGUACAAUCUCUGGCAUUAUAUAUGUUUGUUAAGUCUUAUACCAUAUAAAAUAAAGUUGGAUUAUACUUUUGGUGGUUUUUU
Molecule: long non-coding RNA, 12798 nt
Organism: Symphalangus syndactylus (siamang)
Lineage: Eukaryota; Metazoa; Chordata; Mammalia; Primates; Hylobatidae
Source: RefSeq, a predicted model, not a curated record